RNAcentral lists this ribosomal RNA (468 nucleotides) under uncultured bacterium. RNAcentral describes it as "partial 16S ribosomal RNA". It matches the Rfam family "Bacterial small subunit ribosomal RNA", at positions 28 to 507 of the family's 1533-position model. The record is from RNAcentral.
GACGAACGCUGGCGGCGUGCUUAACACAUGCAAGUCGAACGGAAAGGCCCUGCUUUUGUGGGGUGCUCGAGUGGCGAACGGGUGAGUAACACGUGAGUAACCUGCCCUUGACUUUGGGAUAACUUCAGGAAACUGGGGCUAAUACAGGAUAGGAGCUCCUGCUGCAUGGUGGGGGUUGGAAAGUUUCGGCGGUUGGGGAUGGACUCGCGGCUUAUCAGCUUGUUGGUGGGGUAGUGGCUUACCAAGGCUUUGACGGGUAGCCGGCCUGGGAGGGUGGCCGGCCACAUUGGGACUGAGAUACGGCCCAGACUCCUACGGGAGGCAGCAGUGGGGAAUAUUGCACAAUGGGCGGAAGCCUGAUGCAGCAACGCCGCGUGCGGGAUGACGGCCUUCGGGUUGUAAACCGCUUUCGCCUGUGACGAAGCGUGAGUGACGGUAAUGGGUAAAGAAGCACCGGCUAACUACGUG